AAAUCGUACCCCAAACCGACACAGGUGGUCAGGUAGAGAAUACCAAGGCGCUUGAGAGAACUCGGGUGAAGGAACUAGGCAAAAUGGUGCCGUAACUUCGGGAGAAGGCACGCUGACACGUAGGUGAAGUGAUUUACUCAUGGAGCUGAAGUCAGUCGAAGAUACCAGCUGGCUGCAACUGUUUAUUAAAAACACAGCACUGUGCAAACACGAAAGUGGACGUAUACGGUGUGACGCCUGCCCGGUGCCGGAAGGUUAAUUGAUGGGGUCAGCGUAAGCGAAGCUCCUGAUCGAAGCCCCGGUAAACGGCGGCCGUAACUAUAACGGUCCUAAGGUAGCGAAAUUCCUUGUCGGGUAAGUUCCGACCUGCACGAAUGGCGUAAUGAUGGCCAGGCUGUCUCCACCCGAGACUCAGUGAAAUUGAACUCGCUGUGAAGAUGCAGUGUACCCGCGGCAAGACGGAAAGACCCCGUGAACCUUUACUAUAGCUUGACACUGAACAUUGAGCCUUGAUGUGUAGGAUAGGUGGGAGGCUUUGAAGUGUGGACGCCAGUCUGCAUGGAGCCGACCUUGAAAUACCACCCUUUAAUGUUUGAUGUUCUAACGUGGACCCGUAAUCCGGGUUGCGGACAGUGUCUGGUGGGUAGUUUGACUGGGGCGGUCUCCUCCUAAAGAGUAACGGAGGAGCACGAAGGUUGGCUAAUCCUGGUCGGACAUCAGGAGGUUAGUGCAAUGGCAUAAGCCAGCUUGACUGCGAGCGUGACGGCGCGAGCAGGUGCGAAAGCAGGUCAUAGUGAUCCGGUGGUUCUGAAUGGAAGGGCCAUCGCUCAACGGAUAAAAGGUACUCCGGGGAUAACAGGCUGAUACCGCCCAAGAGUUCAUAUCGACGGCGGUGUUUGGCACCUCGAUGUCGGCUCAUCACAUCCUGGGGCUGAAGUAGGUCCCAAGGGUAUGGCUGUUCGCCAUUUAAAGUGGUACGCGAGCUGGGUUUAGAACGUCGUGAGACAGUUCGGUCCCUAUCUGCCGUGGGCGCUGGAGAACUGAGGGGGGCUGCUCCUAGUACGAGAGGACCGGAGUGGACGCAUCACUGGUGUUCGGGUUGUCAUGCCAAUGGCACUGCCCGGUAGCUAAAUGCGGAAGAGAUAAGUGCUGAAAGCAUCUAAGCACGAAACUUGCCCCGAGAUGAGUUCUCCCUGAGACUUAGAGUCUCCUGAAGGAACGUUGAAGACGACGACGUUGAUAGGCCGGGUGUGUAAGCGCAGCGAUGCGUUGAGCUAACCGGUACUAAUGAACCGUGAGGCUUAACCUU
RNAcentral lists this ribosomal RNA (1309 nucleotides) under Salmonella enterica. RNAcentral's name for it is "partial 23S ribosomal RNA". It matches the Rfam family "Bacterial large subunit ribosomal RNA", at positions 1639 to 2925 of the family's 2925-position model. The record is from RNAcentral. RNAcentral also lists the same sequence under 3 other names. Lineage: Bacteria; Pseudomonadati; Pseudomonadota; Gammaproteobacteria; Enterobacterales; Enterobacteriaceae.